This 384-nucleotide ribosomal RNA is filed under the name uncultured bacterium. Its description in RNAcentral is "bacterial SSU rRNA". It matches the Rfam family "Bacterial small subunit ribosomal RNA", at positions 136 to 550 of the family's 1533-position model. The record is from RNAcentral.
GUACGGAAUAACAGUUAGAAAUGACUGCUAAUACCGUAUAAUGACUUCGGUCCAAAGAUUUAUCGCCCAGGGAUGAGCCCGCGUAGGAUUAGCUAGUUGGUGAGGUAAAAGCUCACCAAGGCGACGAUCCUUAGCUGGUCUGAGAGGAUGAUCAGCCACACUGGGACUGAGACACGGCCCAGACUCAUACGGGAGGCAGCAGUGGGGAAUAUUGGACAAUGGGCGAAAGCCUGAUCCAAGCAAUGCCGCGUGAGUGAUGAAGGCCUUAGGGUUGUAAAGCUCUUUUACCCGGGAAGAUAAUGACUGUACCGGGAGAAUAAGCCCCGGGUAACUCCGUGCCAGCAGCCGCGGUAAUACGGGAGGGGGGGCUAGCGUUGUUCGGGA